AAACUUUACAAUGCAGGCAACUGCGAUAAGGGGACAUCGAGUGGCACGCAUCAUGGGUCUGUCCACCGUACGGGUGUAGCAAGGGCCGGCAAGACCGGUGCCAGCCGCCGCGGUAAUACCGGCGGCUCGAGUGGUGGCCGAUAUUAUUGAGUCUAAAGGGUCCGUAGCCGGCUUAGUAGUCUUUUGGGAAAUCCAGCGACUUAAUCGUUGGGCUCCAUGAGAUACUGCUUUGCUUGGGACUGGGAGAGGUAGGAGGUACUCAAGGGGUAGAGUGAAAUCCUGUAAUCCUUGGGGGACCACCGGGUGCGAAGGCGUCCUACCAGAACAGUCCGACGGUGAGGGACGAAAGCAGGGGGCACGAACCGGAUUAGAUACCCGGGUAGUCCCAGCUGUAAACGAUGCAGACUCGGUGUGUGGCCAGUGCA
Molecule: ribosomal RNA, 425 nt
Filed under: uncultured archaeon
Lineage: Archaea
Description: bacterial SSU rRNA
Rfam family: Archaeal small subunit ribosomal RNA
Source: RNAcentral